Cyclopterus lumpus (lumpfish) is the source of this 1554-nucleotide long non-coding RNA. RefSeq lists it as uncharacterized. The record is from RefSeq and is a predicted model, not a curated record. NCBI's taxonomy places the organism in Eukaryota, Metazoa, Chordata, Actinopteri, Perciformes, Cyclopteridae. The transcript is spliced from 2 exons.
GGUGCUACACCGCAUCCACAGCACGAGACGGACACUAUUUACACGCUUUGCUCAUCACCCCAGCGCCGCUUUGCUCGAACCAACAGCCGCUUCACGCGCACGAGGCCUUAAUUGGGACAAUUUGGCAGGUGUCAGGCUCUGGAGCUCUGGAGGUGCCGCAGGGGCUGAUGGGAGUUGUAGUUCAGAGCCAGCUUAUUUACAGCAGUGUGGUCAGCUCUCGAGGUCCAGAUCUGCUCUCGAUAGUCAAGCAGCACAAAAUGACAAAUUGAGGGACACAAAGUAAAAGAAAACUCACAACACAAAACAGCCCCCCCUCCCCCCUCCGUUAAACAGGGGUUCUGUUUGAGGAAGGAGGCGAGGGAAGGAGGAGGCGAGGGAAGGAGGCGCUGGAGCCCGAUCCAGACAGACGGAGCAGGAAGUGACGAGAAAGUGACUCGAGUGCAAAAAUAAAUAAACAGCUUUUCCUAAAAGCAAAAGAGAAGUGACGAAGAGGAAGUGCUCCAACAGAAACAUGCAAGUGUGAACUAGAGUUCCAUGCUCGGGUCAAGCGUUCCGCUGAGAGAGGAGGCGGUUCCUCUGGGUUCUCUUCAGGUCGCGGCUCUCCUCGUGGAUCAGGACCAUCACGUCCCCCUGCUGUCGUAACGAUUCAACCAUCUUAAAAAAGACACACCGGAUACCGGAGAACACGGCCACUUCACUCAAGGGAGAACCCGUGUUUCAGUACGGGUUCCACAGGAGCUGGUCGGAGAACACAGGAACCUGCUGGUCAUCAGAGCCGAAAUCUACCAGACAGUAAAGUUAGGUCACUUGUACUACUCAGUGAUGAACACGUGAAUACACACAAACCAGUAAUAAAAUACUUUUAUAAGCACAUUAAAGUACUUUCAGCGUUAUGUUUAAAUAUGUAAAUGAGUCGUGAUCGAAAGGGAGCGUCGGCUGAAUGAAAUCUACAGAUUCUGACCCACAAAGUGUCAAACAAUAAUAAAAAGGUUCAGUCAGAAAGACCAUAGAGACUGUCGUAUUAGCACUGUUUACCUGCGAGCUCACCUGGGCCGCUGUCGCCCUCCAGCAGGAGGCGGAGCCAGUCGGUCACGUGGUCACCAGAGGUCCGCCACCUCCUGAAGGAGCAGCUGAACCCCGGAGGAGAGCGAAGAGUCCCGUGGUUCAUCUCGGCCUCCUGACAGAAGACAACCGUCACAAAGCCGUUUCCUGCACCACAUGUGGAUUCAUCCACGCUGAAAAUAGACGCCACAAAAGGGUGUUAUUAACACGAUGCGUUCAGGCGUUACCGGAGACGGUGGGUCGUUCCAGGGUCCCGGCAGCUCCAGAGACCGAGGAGACACAGAGGAGGCUUUAGAGGCUGCAGGAGUCUCCUUCUCUCUCUGCUGGUCUCCUCCAUCCUCACAGAGGUCAGAGGUCAUCUUCGCCAGCUGACUCUGCCUGAAAAAACGUUUGCGUUUAAAAAUACUGAAAAAUGUCACAUAAAUAUGUAUUCAUGAGCAUUUUCUGCUCUUCCCUUAUUGGUUCAUCUAAAUAAAUAUGUUAGAUACAUAA